GGAUUAUCACGCAAUGAAAUGUCAAGAAAGAUAUUAAGAUUAUCAGUUUAAUCGGAUGAAAAUAAAACAAACUACUAUAUUUAUCUGUGUGGUAAAGUGUUGGUUCUCUAUAACAUGAUCGAGGACAUCGAGUUCGUCGACACUUCCAAGACGAUGGGCACCCACAAAUAUCCCAUUCUCUAUUUUACGUUACACUGUACAAUGUGCAUCCACACCCUAAUUAACAAUUUGAAAAGUAUGACCAUAAAGAUAACACCUUAGCUUUAUAUAAGACUUAACAAGUGUCUCCUCAGCAAAACUUUUGAUCUAUAUAAUGUUAGUUUUACCUAAAAGGUUGCAACGUUUCUCACCAGAACUGAAAGUCAACCAGCAGAGAUAUUAAAAAAUAAAAACAGAUAGUUAACCAGCAGAGAUAUUCAAAAAUAAAAUCUUUCUAUUUGUAUAUUACUUAUAUAUCAUACUUAGAGAGACUCUCAACGAAUCCCUCAUGUACAAUGAAUCGAUUCGUCAUAGUACAAAGAUACUGAAUGAAUCCCUGACGUAAAAUCGAUCAAACCCUGAUGUAAAAUAGAUGAAUCCCUAAUGUAAAAUGGUUCAAUCUGAUGUAAAAUGCAUGAAUCCAUGAUGUAAAAUGGAUCAAUCUGAUGUAAAAUAGGUCAAUCCCGCAUGUAAAUUAGAUAGAUCCCUGAUGUAAAAUAGAUCAUUACCGGAUGUAAAAUAGAUCAAUCCCGGAUGUAAAAUAGGUCAAUCCCUCAUGUAAAAUAGAUCAAUCCCUGAUGAAAAUGAAUCAAUCUUUGAUGUAAAAUAGGUCAAUCCCUUAUGUAAGAUAGGUCAACCCCUGAUAUAAAAUAGACCCCUAAUGUAAAUUGGAUCAAUCCCUCAUGUAAAAUAGAUCAAUCCCUUGUGAUAAAUUGGUCUAAUAUAAAACAGAAAAGUACACAUAGACACGAGAUUCAUGACUAUGACCACGUAAAAACAUUACAUAAGUUUGACGAAGGAGAUUUGUGUAAUAUUUACUAUAUCUAAACAGAUAUCUUCAAAAAAUCUCUACCACUUCUUUUGGCGAUUAUUCAAUACCUUUAAUGACAAGUUACGUAAUAUUAGGUUUUAAUAUGAAGACGGGUAUGCACAUAGAAAGCACAAGCAAAUACGUACCGUCGCAUACCACCCGUUAGAAAUUGAACCCUGGGUCAAGUUUUAAGGAGAUAAUGAUCGAAGUAUUGAUAUGUUUAUAGGUAAAAAUCAAAUGGUACCGUGCAACCGAUAUUGUUACAAAUAUUUUAAACGGAAUACUUGAAAACAAAUGGAAUUUGAAAAAUGUGUUUCUUGUAUGAUUUUCUAUCAUUAUUUCCUGGUGUAUUAUUUUUAAUCUCUCUGCAAUAUGUUUUCGAAAUGAACAGUUAUUAUAUUUGAAUUUUCUAAAUCACUUGUUAGGAAUUUGUAUAUGUUUUUUCUUUAAUAAUCAACUGUAUAAAUCAGUGUUGUGUUACUUGCUAAACAUUUAUAUUCCUCCUACAAGUUUUUCAUCAGAGCAAAAAAAAAAAAAAAAAAUACAUGCAUAUAUUACGAAACAGUUAAAAGUUAUACCUUUGUUUUUGAGAUAUAAUCUAACAAUGUCCGUGGGCAUAGAGAUAGUACAACUAAGAACUUCGGCUUAUCACUGAAUGUUUAGUCCCUGGUCUUGAUUUAUCAGCAGAAAUCCAAAGUUAUGAAAUCAGCUUAUUCAUGCAAAAUGAUAUAACAGUGAUGAAAUCAGCUUAUUAAUGCAAAAUGAUAUAACAGUGGGAUAAUCUUAACACCAACCCACGUUGUUCGUGUUACUCAUUCGAAUUGCAUUUGUGGUAGAAGAAACUUCUUUUUUUGGUGUUAUAAAAGUUUCAAAAAGUGUGCUUGAACUUCCCAGUUGUGUAUAUUAUAAAACAAAAAAGCAUCAUUUCGCCGUUUCACUAUCUUAAGUAUGUUAUGGUUAUUUUCACUUUCAACAUUCAAAUUGUUGUUAAUCAAACGCCAUUAUAUCAACGGGUUCAUCUUUUAGCCGGUA
This 2041-nucleotide long non-coding RNA is filed under the name Mytilus galloprovincialis (Mediterranean mussel). Lineage: Eukaryota; Metazoa; Mollusca; Bivalvia; Mytilida; Mytilidae. The record is from RNAcentral.